UAGUUGUGAGAAUAAUCAGAUGAAAAACUUGUGAUUGUAGGAGCGAAUUAAAGUUAGUAGCAGUUCAGCUUUUUCUAAGAUCUCAUUUUAAAAGAAGACUAAAUAGGCAUUUUUACUACAUGUGGUUUUAAUCAGUGUGAUAUAAUUUUCAGUUCCUUUGAUUAAUGAGUACAUUCUCAGCUUUUAGGUGUUACCUAUUUGUUCAGAAGCCAUAGAAACACUCCGACUUAACUGGCUUAAGCACAAUUUUUGACUGACUUAAUUAGCUUCUCUAGAGUUGCUAAUAACCAUACAGCCUUGACUGUGAACCAUGUAAUUAUUUUGACAUUAAUUCUCUCCCUGGGAUAUCUUACUCUUGAGGUCAUCAUUUUUCCACUUCAAUUUCUGGCUAGUAAUUUUACGAAUUAAAGAAACUACUAUUGGAAGACAUGUGUGGCUAUUAUAGCUUAAAAUUUUGUGGGAUAAAUAGGUAUCAACUUUUAUUUUCACUCCAAUAGCAGCUAUGUACUCUAUAAAAUCUGAUGUUACCAAAGUGAAAGAGGAGAAGAAUGUGAAGGAGGAGGUGGGUAAAAGCUAAGAAGAAGAAAAAGUAGUGAUGGGGCAGGGGAAAGAAAAAGAGAAAAAAAAAAGUAGAAAGAGAAGAAUUCUUUUCUAAUCCCCAAUGGCCAAAUUUUGCUUGCCCCUUCAAAUACAGCUUCUUAAAUGAAUAAAUUGCAGAUGGUCUCAGAUUUACAUUGAUUCAACUUCUGACUUUUUUGACUUUAUGAUGAUGUGAAACCUAUACACAUUUAGUAGAAACUGUAUUUUGAUUUUGAUAUUUUCUCAGGCUUGUUAUAUGCUGUUCAAUACUGGGCACCAGCAGUCGUAGCUCCUAGUCUGCACGAAAUUAUGAUAUUAAACAAUGAAUACACUUACAGUAGUUCUGUACUCAGACAACCAUUUUUCACUGUCAGUACAAGAGGUUAAGUGUAUUACACGCAUCUUGGAGCUGUCAUCAAAAAGACUACACAGAAGGAAUGUUGGCAAAGAUGUGGAGAAAAAAUAACUCUAGACCACUGUUGGUGGGAAUGUCAGUUGGUACAGCCACUGUGGAAAAUUGUAUGGAACUUCCUUAAGAAACUGUAAAUAGAACUCUAUGAUCCAGAAAUCCUACUUCUAGGUAUUAAUCUUAAGAAAGUAAAACCACUAAUUCAAAAAGACAUAUGUACCUCAAUAUUCAUAGCAACAUUAUUUAUAAUAACCAGGGUGUGGAAGCAACCUAAAUGUACAUCAAUAUAUGUAUGGAUAAAGAAAAUAUAUAUAUAAACAAUGAAGUAUUACCCAGUCAUAAAAAGGAAUGAAAUUCUUCCAUUUGCAAAUAGAUGAACCUAGAAAGUAUUAUGCUAGCGAGGCAAAGAAAGACAGGCAAAGAAAGACAAAUACUGUAUGUUAUCACUUAAAUAUUGGAAUCUAAAAAAACAAAACAAAGGAAAGUACAUAGCAAAACAGAAACAGACUCACAGAGAGAACAAACUAGUGGCUAGCAGUUGGGAGGAGAAAGGUUGGAGGAGCAAGGCAGUGGUAGGGGAUUAAGAAAUACAAACUUCUGUGUAUAAAACAAUUAAGUAACAAGGAUAUACUGUACAGCACAGAGAACUAUAGCCAUUAUUUUGCAAUAACAUUAAAUGGAAUAUGAUCUAUAAAAAUAUUGAUUUAUUUGGUUGCGCACCUGAAACUAAUGUAAUGUUAGUCAAUUAUAUUUCAAUAAUAAAAUGCAGUUUUGACUUACUAUGUUUUCAAUUUAUGAUGAGUUGAUCAAGAUCUAGCCCCACUGUGAAUUGAGAAGGAACAGUAUCCACAUUAUCUCCAAUUUCACAUCUCCUAUUUUCUAUUUAAAUUUAUUUUUUCCCUUUUUCCCUUCACCAAGCAAUCUAACUUCCUUUUGACAAGGUCAUCAAAAUGAUAUCUAUGUUACUAUAUCCAAGGGUCAAUUCUUAGUUCUCAGUUCAUCUAACCCAAUAGCAAUAGUUGCCAGAGUCAAUCAUCUACUCCUUUAUAAAAUGUAAUCACUAGGAUAACAUAUUAUAUUAGUUUUUCUCUCACUUCACUUGCUGCCUUCCUCAAAAUCUGCUUUAUUGAUUAUUCAUCUUUUCCAUCUUUAAUUUGGAAUGUCCCAUGACUUUGUGAUGUUCUUUUAUAUAUCUACACUCAGUCCAUUUUCGAUUGUUGGACCAAUAUGCUCUCAUACCUUGAACAGGUUUUUACAACGCCUUUUAUAUCUUUAGCAACAUCUCUCUCCCAAACUCAAUGCAUAUAUCCAACUUCUUACCAGAAUUCUCUUACAUAUCAAAUGAGUUUUUCUUUCUUUCUUUAUUCCUUUCCUUCCUCCCUUCCUUCCUUCUUUCUUUCUUUUUUUAUUUUUUAUUUUUUCUUUUUACGGCGAAGCAUUCUUUCUUUCUUCCACCUGUAGCAUAUGGAAGUUUCUGGGCCAGGGGUCAAAUGGAGUUGCAGCUGAAGCCUAUGCCACAGCCACGGCAAUGUUGGAUUUGAGCCACAUCUGUGACCCAUGCCAUCACAGCAAUGCUGGAUCCAUAAACCAAUAAUUGAGACCAGGUGUUAAACCUAUAUCCUCACAGAGAUAAUGUCAGGUCCUUAACCCACUGAGCCAAAAUAGGAACUCCAUGAGUCUUUCUAAUUUAACCUGUCCAAGAUGGGAUUCUAAACGUCUGACCCACAUCUUAUCUAACAACACACAGCCUUUCAUAUUUAAUUUGAUGGCUUCAUUUUUUUCAGUGAAUUAUAUCUUAUAUUUUCAAUUUAUUUCUUAAAACCUAGAAUUUAGCCACUUUCCCUCAGUGUGCCGCUGCCUUGCUGGUGUGUAUCACUAUAAUCUCUUCGAGAUACAGUUCCAGCUGUCUUCUACUUCAUCUCUCUGCUUUCAGUCUUGCCCAAUUCCCAAAAUCUGUUGUCAAAAAAAUAUUGAGUGGUCCUUCUAAACUCUAAAUCUGAUGAUCUUUAAGCCUGUAACUUAGAAUCCUCCCCUAAAUUAAUUCCAUUCAAAGUGAAAGCCUGAGUAUUUAUAAUCACCUAAAAAAAGGGUCUUUAUGAUCCCAAAACAUGAUAUUUUUCUAAUAUUAUCCCUACUUGCUUUUGCUCUUCAACUAUGAUGGUGAACUCCUAUUUUAAGACUUUAUACUCCUUAUUUCUUCACCCAGGCCAUCUGCAUAGACAUCUCCCUAACUUCCUUCAUGUCUUUGCUCAAUGUCACUUUCUCAAAGAAGAGUAUGUAACCUUUGGCUUGCCCCCGACCAUAACAAUACAAUCUAACUUACCCAGUCUGUACCCCCAGAGGACUAAUCAUUUUCCGUAAUACUAUAAUAAAUCUCUAUGGUUUAUACUCCUACUUCUUCCCCUAGAAAAAAUAUGAAUAGGAGCAUCCUUCUUUGUUGUUCUGAUCAAUUACGUGUUCUAUGCAUGGGUGCUAUAUAUUGUAAGAUUCAACAUUUGCUAAGCAACAAACAAAACUGAUUCUCAUUUGUUGUAGGUAACGCAAUCUUUCUCUAUACUUAGGAUUUUCUGUUUAUCCUUAAUAUAUUGAAGUUUCAUUACAAUGCCUUCUUAUUUGUUGUUGCUGAAAUUUGUAUAUAUUAUUGUAUUGGUGUGGUAGCUAUUGUUGAUUGAAGUGGUACAUAGCAGAUUCUUUAACUCUGAAGACAUCACUUUUAUCAUGUAGAAUUUGAUGCCCUUAUUUCUUAACAGGUUUUCCAUCUUCCAUGCUUACUCUGCUUUCUUUCAGAACUCUAAUUAGAAGUAUUUAGAAGUCUGGGUUGAUGUUAUCACUCUAUUUUCUCAUAUUUUCCUUCCUUGUUUCUUUUGACUAUACAGUAACAUAGCUUAACAUAUAGGUUUUGUCUAGUGUCCUCUUUACCUUUCAUCUUAAUGAUUUGUUGCUGCUUUGGUCAUUUCAAUAUUUAUUAUUUUAAUUUCCCAGAUUUCUGAGUUUUUUUCUGUUUUAUAAGAAACUUGCAUUUUACAGUCUUAUUUUCUUUUACGUGACUUGGCCCCAUUUCCAAUUUGCAUAAGAAUUUAAAUACAUGUUUUAUGAUUUAGCAAAUACUGUUCUUUUAUCUCUUUUUGCAGCUAAUACAUUCUUUAUGUGUUUGUAUCUAGAAUUAGAACUUCCUUAGAGGAAGGAAUGUUAAUUGUUUUUUGAGCUUAUAUAUUUUUAGAAAGUGGAAAGGAAUUUCUCCUGCAUCAGUUGUGGAUUAUGUGCUUCCCUCCCAGGAAUCAAAAAGAGCUAAAUUAAUCCAGUACAGACGUUUAUAUUCUGAAGUUCACUUCUUUGAUUACGACAUGUAUGCUACAUUUUGGAGGGUAUUUAAAUACCAUGUUUGAGAAUAUAGGUCAUUGUUCAUCGACUUUUUGCAUUAGAAUCAUGAGAGAAGACCUCAAAACUAGGAAAAUUUGGUCCUCAUCUGUAAAGUUUUUUAUAUAGUUGUUAUAAGAUGUGUGUUGUUCCUUCCAUGUGUUUCUGUUAAAGCCAACAAUACAGGAAUUACAAUCAAAACAAGACAAAUACAAAAAUUCUACAUAUUGAUCAUUAAUACACAGACCUAUGUUUAUCUCUGAUUAUUUCACAGAUGCAUAGUGUAAUGUGGGCAAUAUUUCAUAAACAACAAACAUGAGGGAAUUAGAUUUUUUUUUUUUGUCUUUUGUCUUUUUAGGGCUGCACCGGCAGCAUAUGGAAGUUAGGGGUUGAAUCAGAGCUGUACUUGCCAGCUUACACAACAGCCACGGCAACUCCAGAUCCAAGCCUUGUCUGCAACCUACACCACAGCUCACGGAAAUGCCAGAUCCUUAACCCACCGAGCAAGGCCAGAGAUGGAACUUACAUCCUCCUGGAUACUAGUUGAGUUUGUUAACCACUGAGCCACAACGGGAACUCCACUUUCUUAUUUUCUUUUUUUUUCCCUUGGAAAUUAGAUUUUAUUUACAAUAAUAGUACAUCAAAUACAUAGGAAGAGUUUGUCAGACUCAGAUGAAAUAAGUAAUAGUGCUAUGUUAAUUAUGUUGCAGAUCUUAGUUGGAAAAUUGUUCUGAAGACAGUGUUUAAAAUUAGCAUAGAGAUAGUUUAUUCUGAAAAAAUCAUGUGUAACUGUGUCCAAAACAUCUGAUGAAUUAACUUAUUAAUUUAUAGAAUAAUCCAAAUUUACUUAUUUAAUUUUUUACUUGAAUCUAUUUUUUGACAAUAGAUGUACUACAAGCACUAUUCUAUUAUGUACUGGUAACACAUAACUAAGACUGACAUUUCCUCAUAUAGUUUACAUUCUAAGAUAGUAAUGACAAACUUUCCACCCAACUUUGAAAAGUAUUAUCAAUUUUAGGGUUUAUGUUUCUGUGUUGUUUUGUUUGAUGUCGAUUCAGAUAAUUAUUUGAAAGAUAUUGUAAUAAAAGAUAAGAUAAACACUUGAAAGAACAGAGAUAUGAAGACAAAUUAAUUUUCCUUUAAUAAUAUAAUCAUUUCUUCGAGCAAAUUCAAUUAAGAGAAUAAUAAAGUGUGUUUUUUGUCCAACACAGUACAUAGCUAUAUACUGAUUUUUUUUAAGUGAAUACAUUUUGUAUAAUUCAGAAAAAAAGAGAAUUCUGUUAGAUUACUCUUGCAGUUUCCAAUGAUACAUCUGGGUCUUAAAUCUGGAGCGAAAAAAAAGCCAACUAAUCUGGAUAUCUUGAUAGCAUUCUUAAUGCAUGAAAGAGAAUAAUAUUUAAAAUAAAAUAACCUGUAAAGGCAAGAGUAAUUCUGUUUUAAUGUAGAUGUAUAAGCAGCUAAAUAAAUUCUAAUGCCUGUUCACCUGAAUAUUUUUUCAAACAGAUAUUACAUCUACCUUGGAUAAGGUCCCAUGUUGUCACAUACUGUUUAAGAGAAUGUUCUCUGGUGUCACAAACCUGGGUGCUAAAAAGUCUAAGGUGGAGUUCUAAGAGUAACCCCGAAUGACUCUUUCCCUUGUGUAAUCUUCUACCCUUUCAGUGUGAAUGGAAUUUGUAACGAUGACUAGAAAUUACUCCAUGACUGUUACAUUACAUGGCAAGAGUAAUUUUGCAGAUGUAAUAAAGGUUGUUAAUUAACUUAAAAUAGUGAUAUUAUUUGGGUGGGCUAAAUCUAAUCACAAUGCCCUUUGAAAGGAGAACAUUUUCUCUGGCUGGUGGCAGAUAGGACAUUAGGGAGAGAGUAGGUGUAAGACUGAUGCACCACUGCUGACUUUGAAGGGGAAAGGGACCCUGUGAGAAGGAAUACUGGCAGUCUCUAGGAGUGGAAAACAGCCUCUACUUAUG
RNAcentral lists this long non-coding RNA (6309 nucleotides) under Sus scrofa (pig). RNAcentral's name for it is "lncRNA (ENSSSCG00000055031.1)". Lineage: Eukaryota; Metazoa; Chordata; Mammalia; Artiodactyla; Suidae. The record is from RNAcentral.